This 468-nucleotide ribosomal RNA is filed under the name uncultured bacterium. RNAcentral's name for it is "partial 16S ribosomal RNA". It matches the Rfam family "Bacterial small subunit ribosomal RNA", at positions 28 to 507 of the family's 1533-position model. The record is from RNAcentral.
GACGAACGCUGGCGGCGUGCUUAACACAUGCAAGUCGAACGGAAAGGCCCUGCUUUUGUGGGGUGCUCGAGUGGCGAACGGGUGAGUAACACGUGAGUAACCUGCCCUUGACUUUGGGAUAACUUCAGGAAACUGGGGCUAAUACCGGAUAGGAGCUCUUGCUGCUUGGUGGGGGUUGGAAAGUUUCGGCGGUUGGGGAUGGACUCGCGGCUUAUCAGCUUGUUGGUGGGGUAGUGGCUUACCAAGGCUUUGACGGGUAGCCGGCCUGAGAGGGUGACCGGCCACAUUGGGACUGAGAUACGGCCCAGACUCCUACGGGAGGCAGCAGUGGGGAAUAUUGCACAAUGGGCGGAAGCCUGAUGCAGCAACGCCGCGUGCGGGAUGACGGCCUUCGGGUUGUAAACCGCUUUCGCCUGUGACGAAGCGUGAGUGACGGUAAUGGGUAAAGAAGCACCGGCUAACUACGUG